Molecule: long non-coding RNA, 787 nt
Organism: Phasianus colchicus (ring-necked pheasant)
Lineage: Eukaryota; Metazoa; Chordata; Aves; Galliformes; Phasianidae
Source: RefSeq, a predicted model, not a curated record
GUUCCACCCGGGCUCCGGCAGGACGGCUCUCCAUGCGCCGAGAGAGGAGGACGCCGGCGGCCGGAGCCCGACCCUCCCGCAGCUCCCGGCUGCAAAACAUCUGUAUUGACAGGCAGAAGAAUAGCAGAGCUACUUAGAGCAGUUCCAUUACCCAAAAAAGCUGUCUCUAAGGUCUGUGGCAUUUGACAGACUCCCUCAGGUUUGAUCUCACCAGACAAUGGGAACAAGCAAAACCUUCCGAAGUAGAAGCUGACGGUUUAGAAGAUCCCUUUACAUAGCCUUCAUAGCAUCAAGACCUGUUUCACAUCAGGCUAAGCUGCACAGCUCACCUGAAGUGAAACAAGAUGGACACCCUUUGAGGCUGCACAGCAACAGGGCUGCCUUGGAGCCAGCAGCAGUGAUACCAGAGCCAGCUGAGGAAAAGCCCUUGUGUCAGCACUGCACAUCGCCUCCAGACCAGAUACCAUGAUGGGAUGAGGAAGAGGGACAGAGCAAGCUGUGCUCCUAUUGAGAGAGCAGCAGGACUCUGCCUUCUGUUUCUGACCUCACAAUGCAUAUGAAGAGGCCAUCUGAGACAACUUUGAGAAACUUUCAACACCUAUUUCCUUAGUUCAUCCACUACAUCCGGCUUCUAAAGCAGUGAUUUCAAAAUCCAGGAAAAUCCUACUGGAGAGAAAAAUCAAUAUUCUUACUCUUCAAGAUCUUUGUGGUGGAAUUGACAGACAAGCCUUCAUACUUGUAUCCAAUGGAAGCCAUGCUGCUGAACGAUCACCGUGUGCUCGAUUUU